Molecule: long non-coding RNA, 3086 nt
Filed under: Phocoena sinus (vaquita)
Lineage: Eukaryota; Metazoa; Chordata; Mammalia; Artiodactyla; Phocoenidae
Description: lncRNA (ENSPSNG00000014575.1)
Source: RNAcentral
AGUCUUAACCAGCUCAGCUCCAACUAGGCGCCGCUGAUCCAAGUUCCUGGAAAAUAACUCCGGCAAACAUCUCAUUGUUAGGCUCCGUGCGGCUCGGAGGAGGAGCGAGCCUUCUGCAGCGACAGUUAAAAGGACCUUGGUACGGCAAAUGGCCUUUGAUAAGCUUGUCAGGUGGAUCACCUGUAUCUUUGUCGCCGGUACCUUGUCAGUUCCCUGCGAGCGUUUUAAAAUACCUACUGAUACUGACUACUUGACUUCAGUCGAGAUGUAUCUAUCUGUUCUACCUUUCUCUUGAACUCUGGAAUAACUACAUGUAAUAAGUUGCUACUCACAUUACCUUUCCAGGAUAGUAUAUUUUCUUAAGCUACUUAAGCUUUUUAAGAAGCCAUCAUUGACCAGCUGCCGGUAGAAACUUCAGGUAUUGGAACCUAGAGGCACGUUCUGCGGCCCCCAUCACUCACAUAUGCACGAGCUGCAGGACCUGUUUCUGGGCGCCGUGUCACUGCUGCCUACACGCAUCUGCCACCACUCUCAGCAGGGACCCUGCACAAGCGUGCACACUGCACACGGCAGCGCAGGCCAGGCGUUCCCACAAAUCCAGUGUCUCUGGAAAAACAGAGCUGCUUGAAGAAGUUAUCAUCAGAAGAAGUUGCCGAGAAGCAAUGAGGCUCCAGUCAGAAGUUCCUGAAUGGGCGCUGAUGGUGAGUGGGGAUGAAAGGUGAGGUGGGGGACAAGAAUGCAGAAAUGGGGUUUCCAGCAUGUCAGCCAGGCUGAGGGGGAAAUCCUCUGCUUUUUCCAAGGGUAUAGGUGAGGAUGCGUCAAUCAGAGAGGAUGUGUUACAACAAAAUAGUUUUAUGUGGCACUGCACUAAAACGAAGCUAUGCUAGCUUUGACUUUUCAGUGUAUAAUAACUUUGGCUGUUUAAUUGAUGGGUCAUGUUGUCUAAAUGGUUGGAAUAAAGGUGAUGAGGCAGCCCUGCGCCUCGGUAACUUUUUGAAUCCCUUGUUUACCCCAAAUUCUGGAGGGAGCUGUUGGUGAAACUAGCACAGAUGUCACAGGCAGCAAAGGCUUCAAAUCCCACCUGACGGUCCUCAAACCUCCAGAACAGCUUCAUGGAGAAGAAUGAUAAUUACGUUGAUUGAAUCCUCAUGACUGAGCUCCUUUUUCAGCUGCUUUGAUUUAUUCUUUUGAGUAUAAACGAGUUUUCAAUGAGCAUUACAGAAUCGGCAAUACCAGAGAAAAAGAGUGGCAGUAGGAUGUAUAACUCGAGAUGCUGUUCCAAACAGUUAUUGAAUGCCUUGAAUUAUUCACGUUCUAAAGCCCUGUCCCACCCUCCCUAAACCCACAAGCAGUUGUGAUUAGGGAGGAAGACUGGCAUCACAGAAAAGCUCCUGGAUCUCCUGGGAAUGUCACCCUGACCCUUGUCUAAGUAGCAGCAGCUUCAAGCAGUAGAGCCCCGUGUCAUGUCUUGCCCGUGAUGAUUUCUUAUAUGAUUAGAGUAUAAUAAAUAAUUUUGAAUGAAGCCUUCAUAUCCUAAAGUAAUAGCCUCUUAACAACAGGGUCACCAACUAGUCCAGGUUUGUCCAAGAUUUGACUGGUCUUGACACAAAGUUCAACAUCUGGGAAACCCCUCAGUCUGGGGCAAACUGGGAUGAUUGGUCCCCCUACUUAAAAGGCAUUUAAAAUGCAUCUUCCCUAGGAUCCAAUGUGAUUCUAUAUUUGUUCUGUGGUCUAGAGUUCUUGUUACAUCCAUAUUCUACAGGCAGUCAUCUGCAUUGUCAGAAUGGCACCAGGGAACGCUCCUAGCUGAAGGGAGGGGUGGGUAUGUGGUGGGCAGGGGGAUUGGAUAAAGUUUGAGAGAGCAGGAAGAUUAAUGUCAUAUCGGAGUCAGACUGCAUGGCUUCUUUUACACUAUAAAUAUUGUAUGAAGUGCUGACGUAACCUUUACUGCAGCGUGACAUGGGAUUUGGCUGUUUUUAUGGCUCGUGAUUAAAGUAAGAAACAAGUCUCUGAUUAGAUUAUUCUUUUCGCCCCACAGACCUCUGUCCUUCCCAUUUCCAAGAAUGCUAUUUUAUUUAUACAAUCAAUCUAACUCAGACUCCAACACCAAAAUACGUGGGUCACAACCUAGAAAAUGUAUCCUAAGAAAUAUUCUGUUUAUUCUUUGCCCCAAAUUAUUUAUAAGCUCAGAGACUGACUUUGAUAUGCACUUGAGGGGAAUAAGAAGAGUUGAGACUUGUAAAUUCUGCUUCCUUUUAAAAAGUAUUAUUAUCUGUGUGUGGUAAAAUCCACUUGAAGUUCUCUUGAGGUUGCAUAAGAAAAUAGAUGGGUUUUUAAUGAUUUUAGUUUGUUGCAAUUGCAGGUAGCUAAAUACAGUCGGCUGAAAAGCAAAUUGAGCUCUAAGGAACAGAAUUCAAUCUAUUGGCUUUCUCCUUCUGGUCUGUCCUACACAGUAAUUUAAUUAUUUGUGAAACUUUUAAACUCAAUUGACUCCCAUGGAAUUUAUCCACGUUGGAGGGUGUUUAGUGUUAUACUCAUUAUAUCUUUUGGGCCUGGUCCGGCAGUUAGCAACUGGGCUUUAUUUAGUCAUAAAGAACUAAGUAUGUUUGAAAUGCCUGUGUGCAGUGUUUCAUGUCUUUAAAUUAUGUCUGUUCUUAAAAUUCAGAACAUUUCGUCUGCUUAUUAUGCUGAAAUGCAGUAGAACUAUCAGGUUCAAAUAGAGGGAAAUUUUUUUUUGUCUCUUGUAGCCCUUUAGACAGGUAUAUUGGGUGGGAAUUUAAAAAUUCAACUGUGAGUAGAGCUCAAAAUCAAAAAGAUCCAGUAUAAAUAACAUCAGAGGGUGAGCCCUCAUAAGUCAGCAAGUCUGAUGUGAAAAAUAGGUAUAAGUUUAAAAUCUUGCUCUGGCUGUUAGACGCCAUCUACUGGCCGUAAUUUCUGUCUGAUACAACUAGCCAUCGUUUCAACGCAGAGGGAGAAUCCUCAGGACCUGUUGUUAAAAUUCAAGUAGCAUUAUACGGCGUAGUCAUUUUGUGUAAAUCAAUCACGGAAUAAGCAUAGCUACGUUUUGAAAUUCAGAUUGCAUUUUG